AGAAAACUCAAAAAAGAGCCCAAAGUGGAAAAGGAAGAGGAGAGAAUACUCACAAGGCUCUUCUUUGCUUUGUUCUUAUUCUGUAAUCUGUACCCAAUUCUGCUUAGGAUUUGUUAGGCACAUAGAAAAAAGGGAAAACCCCCUUUUUUCAGAAUCUUUAAUUUGACUGAAAUUUGAUCUAUUGAUUUGUUUAACUGAUAAUUGAAAGAUCGAUUCUUUGUUUUGUGUGAAAUUUGAUUGAAUUUAACAGGGAGGAAAACGAUGGUGUCUGCAAAUAGGGAGAUGGCUGUUUACUGUUUUGAUACAUUGGUGUCUCACUACAACAAGGAACAACCUCCUCCUCCUGCUUUUGAUGAGGGUGAACACCCGCUGUUUGUGACUUGGAAGAAAGUGGUGAAUGGUGGGGAGCCUCGUUUGCGCGGAUGCAUCGGCACUCUGGAAGCUCGCUGCAUUGUUAAUGGUUUUAAGGAUUAUGCACUGACAAGUGCUCUCAGGGACCGUCGUUUUCCUCCGAUACAGGCUAAAGAGUUACCUACUUUACAGUGUACAGUUUCAAUUCUCACUAAUUAUGAGACUGCAGCUAACUACCUUGAUUGGGAGGUAGGGAAGCAUGGGAUAAUUAUUGAAUUUACUGACCCUAACUAUAACACAAGAAGAAACGCCACGUACCUACCUGAGGUGGCUGCUCAUGAAGGGUGGACCGUUAUAGAAGCAAUUGACUCACUGAUACGCAAAGCAGGUUAUAAUGGACCUAUAACAGAAUCAUUGAGGAAGCAAAUCCAUCUAACUCGAUACCAGAGCACAUUAUUUACUAUGCAGUACAGUGAAUAUGUGGAUCAUGUUAAGGAAACCCGAGGUCUCGAUCCAACUAUUAAUGGUGUGAAACCUUGAACAACGUAUGGAUUGUUCGGAGGAAUCUUCCACCUUAAGACCAGUAGAUGAUUUUGGUUAAGUGGAAGAUAAACCAUUCUAAAAUUCAUGGUUGGAAUAUGUUGUUAUAGAUUCCAACCCUGUCUAGUGAUUGUUUUCAUAAACGUUUUACGCUAUUCUUCGAGACUGAAACUGAACUCAUUUUCAGUGCUGAGUGCACCCAAAAAAAAUUGAACUUCAACAGUUCCUUUAAAAAGCUGCAUUUGUGGCUAUGUUUGUUAUAAUAUAACUGUCUGCUUU
This 1170-nucleotide unclassified non-coding RNA is filed under the name Hevea brasiliensis (rubber tree). The record is from RNAcentral. Lineage: Eukaryota; Viridiplantae; Streptophyta; Magnoliopsida; Malpighiales; Euphorbiaceae.